GACGAACGCUGGCGGCGUGCUUAACGCAUGCAAGUCGAACGGAAAGGCCCUGCUUGCAGGGUACUCGAGUGGCGAACGGGUGAGUAACACGUGGGUGAUCUGCCCUGCACUUCGGGAUAAGCCUGGGAAACUGGGUCUAAUACCGGAUAGGAGCCAUUUUUAGUGUGAUGGUUGGAAAGUUUUUUCGGUGUAGGAUGAGCUCGCGGCCUAUCAGCUUGUUGGUGGGGUAAUGGCCUACCAAGGCGGCGACGGGUAGCCGGCCUGAGAGGGUGGACGGCCACAGUGGGACUGAGAGACGGCCCAGACUCCGACGGGAGGCAGCAGUGGGGAAUAUUGCACAAGGGGCGCAAGCCGGAUGCAGCGACGCCGCGUGGGGGAUGACGGCCUUCGGGUUGUAAACUCCUUUCGCUAGGGACGAAGCUUUUUGUGACGGUACCUAGAUAAGAAGCACCGGCUAACUACGUG
This 465-nucleotide ribosomal RNA is filed under the name uncultured bacterium. RNAcentral's name for it is "partial 16S ribosomal RNA". It matches the Rfam family "Bacterial small subunit ribosomal RNA", at positions 28 to 507 of the family's 1533-position model. The record is from RNAcentral.